GCCUGGCUGACUCAGUCAGUAGAGCAUUUGACUCUUGAUCUCAAGGGUUGUGAGUUCAAGCCCCAUGUUGGGCA
This 74-nucleotide transfer RNA is filed under the name Felis catus (domestic cat). It matches the Rfam family "tRNA". From Rfam's summary of the family: Transfer RNA (tRNA) molecules are approximately 80 nucleotides in length. Their secondary structure includes four short double-helical elements and three loops (D, anti-codon, and T loops). Lineage: Eukaryota; Metazoa; Chordata; Mammalia; Carnivora; Felidae. The record is from Rfam by way of RNAcentral.